UACGAAGGGGGCUAGCGUUGUUCGGAAUUACUGGGCGUAAAGCGCACGUAGGCGGCUUUGUAAGUCAGGGGUGAGAUCCCGGGGCUCAACCUCGGAACUGCCUUUGAUACUGCAAGUCUUGAGUCCGGAAGAGGUGAGUGGAAUUCCUAGUGUAGAGGUGAAAUUCGUAGAUAUUAGGAAGAACACCAGUGGCGAAGGCGGCUCACUGGGCCGGUACUGACGCUGAGGUGCGAAAGCGUGGGGAGCAAACAGG
RNAcentral lists this ribosomal RNA (253 nucleotides) under uncultured bacterium. Its description in RNAcentral is "partial 16S ribosomal RNA". It matches the Rfam family "Bacterial small subunit ribosomal RNA", at positions 524 to 776 of the family's 1533-position model. The record is from RNAcentral.